UCCCCUCUCAGCCUGUAGGACUUGGACCCUGCUGACCCGGUCAAAGUGGUUGAAGGACGCCCGGAACUCGUUGAGCUGCUCCUGGCUCAGGCCCUUGGCAUCUCUGGUAACCAAAGGUAUGGCUGAUGGGAUGUGAGACCAGUUUACCUCUCAUUACAUCCAGUGCCUCCCACACUUCUAGAAUGCCUGCACUCACCUGAGUCUCUUCCACAGAGUGCACUAGCCACACGUCCUGCAGGUCUUCAAUAGCCCCAUCCAGCCAAUUGUUGAAGGGUGCUGCCCGCCGAGCAAACUCCAGCUGCAGCUGGUCAAUGGUUUCCAGGAGCUUCUCCAUCCUCUAGCGGUCAGGGGACCAUGGAUCAGACCUUUGCAGCUUGCUGGCCUCAUCGCCUUGCCCUUGGUUCCCUGGCCCACCUGCCUACCUCUAGCGCAUCUCUCCUCUUCUGGGUCAGUGUACCUAAGUUAUCCCACUGGUCACAGAUGGCUUGGCAGCGGCUAUUCACUGAGGCUGCCUCAUGGUAGUCCAGCUCACUGAUGGAGUUAAAGGGGAAUGAGUGUAGAGGCAGACCUUGGCCUAACUUGAACCCUGGUGGAACCCAAGGCAGGGUGAGGGUGCAGGAGUGACUGUUAGGUAGCCAAAGCAGGUGUGGAGCAGAGAGGAACUUUUCUUCCAGGGAUCUCAGUGUCUGCAGGUGUCCUGAUGUGGAGCCUGGGUUUCAGAAGCAGAAUUGUGGGAGAAGGAGAACCGGAGGAGGUGGUUGAUGAGGCCAAGGCUGAUGGGGUGGUGGGCUAAUAUUCUGAGGUGAAGGGGGGUCUCCAUGUCAUGGGGGACAGAUUUCCCCAUGCGGUGGGAAUACCAGUGGAUAAAUGCAGGGGUUGGAGACAGUGUUUCAGUAAGAAAGUAAUGGUGUGAAAAGAAGCAGGGUGCCACUACUUAGUUACCAACGAUAUGACAGAGGAGUAGGGAGGGGCUCAACGGGGAGGGGCGGGGCUGGGUCUCUGGUCACGCCUACUUGAGUUCCUGGGCUAGUGCAGCAAUGUGCUCCACCCGGUCUUGGUGCGCAGCCAGGUCGCUCUCAAAGGCCUCGUGGCGGCGCAACAGCGCACGCACCUCCUGCAGCGAAGCUGAGUCGUAGUCAUGCUGGUUCAGCAUCUCCUCUUUGCCUGCUCGGAAAGAGAACAGGGUCCUGUCACCCAGAGGCCGCUAUGGCUGGAGUGUGAGGUUUCCCAACAUACCCUGAGAUGCCAGCCGGAACUUUAGCAUUGUUUGCCAAUGAAGUCAGUGUCCUCUGACCCAGCACUGUCCAGGAUGACCUUUGCUACAAUUUUGGAAUUGCUUGAUAAUCAAACCCCACUCCCACCCCACCCCGGUCCCUCUGUUUUAUUCUGAGACAGAGUCUCUAUGUAGUCCUGGUACGUUGACCAGGCUGGCCUCAAACUCAGAGAUCUACCACCUCUGCUUCUCAAGUGCUGGGGUUAAAGGGAUGCACCACCGCGCCCAGCCUUCGAACUACUUUUCAAUGCUCCUGUGAAUUCCUCAAUCUUUUGACCUGGCUUCAUUUGCUCAUCUGCUUUCCCAGCACCUGGCACAGUGCCUGAUACUUGGUGGAUGGCAGAGCCUCCGUGAAUAAUUACUGCAUGAAUGAAUAAUAAAUGCAAAAGUGUCUUUGGUGAAA
This is a long non-coding RNA of Peromyscus californicus insignis, 1676 nucleotides long. RefSeq lists it as uncharacterized. Lineage: Eukaryota; Metazoa; Chordata; Mammalia; Rodentia; Cricetidae. The transcript is spliced from 2 exons. The record is from RefSeq and is a predicted model, not a curated record.